AAAGAAACUAACARGGAUUCCCCUAGUAACGGCGAGUGAAGCGGGAAGAGCUCAAAUUUGAAAUCUGGCGGUCUAAGGCCGUCCGAGUUGUAAUCUAGAGAGGUGUUUUCCGUGCCGGACCGUGUACAAGUCCCUUGGAACAGGGCGUCAUAGAGGGUGAGAAUCCCGUCCAUGACACGGACUCCCGGUGCUCUGUGAUACGCCUUCGAAGAGUCGAGUUGUUUGGGAAUGCAGCUCAAAACGGGUGGUAAAUUCCAUCUAAAGCUAAAUACAGGCGAGAGACCGAUAGCGAACAAGUACCGUGAGGGAAAGAUGAAAAGAACUUUGGAAAGAGAGUUAAACAGUACGUGAAAUUGUUGAAAGGGAAACGCUUGAAGUCAGUCGCGUCCGCCAGGACUCAGCCUUGCUUCUGCUUGGUGCACUUCCUGGUGGAUGGGCCAGCAUCGAUUUUGAUCGCCGGAAAAGGUCGGGAGGAAUGUGGCAGCUUGCUGUGUUAUAGCCUUCCGACGUACACGGUGGUUGGGAUCGAGGACUGCAGCACGCCUUUUGGUCGGGGUUCGCCCACGCCACGUGCUUAGGAUGCUGGCGUAAUGGCUUUAAACGACCCGUCUUGAAACAC
The sequence is a ribosomal RNA, 619 nucleotides long. It matches the Rfam family "Eukaryotic large subunit ribosomal RNA", at positions 58 to 662 of the family's 3401-position model.